RNAcentral lists this long non-coding RNA (203 nucleotides) under Elaeis guineensis (African oil palm). Its description in RNAcentral is "long non-coding RNA (EGUI_LNC018042)". The record is from RNAcentral. Lineage: Eukaryota; Viridiplantae; Streptophyta; Magnoliopsida; Arecales; Arecaceae.
GUCCUGAGAAAUCUCGACAAAGUAAUUGAUUGUUUGAUUGUCAAUAUCUUUUAGAUAAGUAAUAUUUAUAUUUUAUAAUAAUCAAUCAGAUUCAAUUGAGAAUUAUCUUAUCCCAUUGAAAUGAUAUAAAUUAUUGUAAGUACAUCUAGAUUUAAUUGUGUAUGAAAUUGUUGUGUAUCAUUUUCUUGACACGAUACAAAUGG